Molecule: long non-coding RNA, 347 nt
Organism: Haliotis rufescens (red abalone)
Lineage: Eukaryota; Metazoa; Mollusca; Gastropoda; Lepetellida; Haliotidae
Exons: 3
Source: RefSeq, a predicted model, not a curated record
GGUAUAUAUACUGUGCUAUGUUCAGUUACAAUGUCUAUUAUUGACAGAGUGUUGACGGCAACAUGAAAGGAAUUAUCCUCUGUCUCGUCAUUGCAAGCGUGUUGGGCAUUGCCCUGACAACAGAGCCGGUGAUCACGUCCAGGUCCGCUUGUGACCCAUCGUCCAUCUGCCAACUUCAUGCCAACGCCAUUUGCAGCCUAGACUGCUGGGAUAAUGACUCCGAGUGUCUCGAGAGAUGGUUCGUCGAUGGAGAAAGGGUCUUUUGCGAUUUCAAAUAAUUCUGUCUGAGACAAAUAUUUGACAAUGCGCAAGUCCAUUGUGAACAGGAAUAAAAUUCUUUCAAACUA